This 497-nucleotide ribosomal RNA is filed under the name uncultured bacterium. Its description in RNAcentral is "partial 16S ribosomal RNA". It matches the Rfam family "Bacterial small subunit ribosomal RNA", at positions 28 to 507 of the family's 1533-position model. The record is from RNAcentral.
GAUGAACGCUGGCGGCGUGCCUAAUACAUGCAAGUCGAGCGAACAGACGAGGAGCUUGCUCCUUCGACGUUAGCGGCGGACGGGUGAGUAACACGUAGGUAACCUACCUAUAAGACUGGGAUAACUUCGGGAAACCGGAGCUAAUACCGGAUAAUAUUUCGAACCGCAUGGUUCGAUAGUGAAAGAUGGCUUUGCUAUCACUUAUAGAUGGACCUGCGCCGUAUUAGCUAGUUGGUAAGGUAACGGCUUACCAAGGCAACGAUACGUAGCCGACCUGAGAGGGUGAUCGGCCACACUGGAACUGAGACACGGUCCAGACUCCUACGGGAGGCAGCAGUAGGGAAUCUUCCGCAAUGGGCGAAAGCCUGACGGAGCAACGCCGCGUGAGUGAUGAAGGUCUUCGGAUCGUAAAACUCUGUUAUUAGGGAAGAACAAACGUGUAAGUAACUGCGCACGUCUUGACGGUACCUAAUCAGAAAGCCACGGCUAACUACGUG